Molecule: long non-coding RNA, 232 nt
Filed under: Ananas comosus (pineapple)
Lineage: Eukaryota; Viridiplantae; Streptophyta; Magnoliopsida; Poales; Bromeliaceae
Description: long non-coding RNA (ACOM_LNC026216)
Source: RNAcentral
AGAAGGAAAUCCGAAGAUUUCGGUAAACAUUAACCCAUCUCGAACGCUAGUCCAACGUCAGCAAUAAGUCGACCGAAGAAAUCGCUCGACCACCAACGGCCUCCACCGGAUUCAACCACGGCGCACGCGCACAAUCCUCCAAAGGCAAACGAACGAAAACUAAGCUCGAUUCUCCAAAAUCUCAAAGAAAAGAAGAAAAGAAGCUAGAGAGAGAAAGAGGGAACCAACCUAU